RNAcentral lists this ribosomal RNA (468 nucleotides) under uncultured bacterium. Its description in RNAcentral is "partial 16S ribosomal RNA". It matches the Rfam family "Bacterial small subunit ribosomal RNA", at positions 28 to 507 of the family's 1533-position model. The record is from RNAcentral.
GACGAACGCUGGCGGCGUGCUUAACACAUGCAAGUCGAACGGAAAGGCCCUGCUUUUGUGGGGUGCUCGAGUGGCGAACGGGUGAGUAACACGUGAGUAACCUGCCCUUGACUUUGGGAUAACUUCAGGAAACUGGGGCUAAUACCGGAUAGGAGCUCCUGCUGCAUGGUGGGGGUUGGAAAGUUUCGGCGGUUGGGGAUGGACUCGCGGCUUAUCAGCUUGUUGGUGGGGUAGUGGCUUACCAAGGCAUUGACGGGUAGCCGGCCUGAGAGGGUGACCGGCGACAUUGGGCCUAAGGUACGGCCCAGACUCCUACGGGAGGCAGCAGUGGGGAAUAUUGCACAAUGGGCGGAAGCCUGAUGCAGCAACGCCGCGUGCGGGAUGACGGCCUUCGGGUUGUAAACCGCUUUCGCCUGUGACGAAGCGUGAGUGACGGUAAUGGGUAAAGAAGCACCGGCUAACUACGUG